RNAcentral lists this ribosomal RNA (397 nucleotides) under uncultured bacterium. RNAcentral's name for it is "partial 16S ribosomal RNA". It matches the Rfam family "Bacterial small subunit ribosomal RNA", at positions 523 to 918 of the family's 1533-position model. The record is from RNAcentral.
AUACGUAGGUGACAAGCGUUAUCCGGAUUUACUGGGCGUAAAGGGCGUGUAGGCGGUCUUGCAAGUCAGAAGUGAAAUUCCUGAGCUCAACUCGGGCGCUGCUUCUGAAACUGCAGGACUUGAGUGCUGGAGGGGAUAGCGGAAUUCCUAGUGGAGCGGUAAAAUGCGCAGAUAUUAGGAAGAACACCGGUGGCGAAGGCGGCUAUCUGGACAUAAACGGACGCUGAGGGGCGAAAGCGUGGGGAGCAAACAGAAUUAGAUACCCUGGUAGACCACGCCGUAAACGAUGAAUACUUGGUGUAGGGGGUAUCGACUCCCUCUGUGCCGCAGUCAACACAAUAAGGAUUCCGCCUGGGGAGUACGGCCGCAAGGUUGAAACUCAAAGGAAUUGACGGGG